GAAGGUGUAUCUAGAAAGACAAAUUAGAGCUUGGAAAGUAAAGCAUUUCAUUUACAUUGAAAAGUAUAUUGUGUAAUUCAAUUUAAUUUGAUAAUAAUAAAAAUUUAUUAAUUUUUUUUGUUUAAAAAAUUAUUUAAUAAAAUUAAUUUUAGAUUAAUUUUUUUUGUACAGUAUAUAGAUCAAAUAAUUUAUAUAAUAGUUAAUUAGUAUUGUAAAAGAAUAUUGAAAUAUAUGAAAAAGUUUUAAAUUAAAAGUAAAUUUUAUAUAUUGUACCUUGUGUAUCAGGGUUUAUUAAUUAAAAGUUAAAAAUUUAAUUUUUCUCGAAUUUAAGAGGGUUAAUUUAUUAUUUAAUUUUUUGUUUCAUAAAAAUUUAAAAUAAUAAAUUAGAAAUGAAAUGUUAUUCGUUCUUAAAUAUAUCUAGUUUUUUAAGAAAUAAAUUAAAUUUAGAUUAUUAAUAGAUAAUUAGUUAUUUAAAUAAUAAAUUAUUAUUAAUAGUUAAUAUUUUAGGGGAUAAGCUUUAAAGUAAAUUUUAUAAUAAUUUUUUAAUUUGAAAAUUAUAGAUUUAGAAAUAGUCAUUAAUUGUAAAAAUGUUAUAAUUUAUUUUAAAUUAAAAAUAAUUUUUAUUAAUUUAAGUUUUUAUUAAAAUAAUUUUUAGAAUUAUAUAAGAAUUAAAAUAAUGAUAAAAUUAGUAUAUUUAAUUGUUUUAAAAAUAUUGAUUGAAAGGUUAAAUUAAGGAACUUGGCAAAUAAAUACUCGCCUGUUUAACAAAAACAUGUCUUUUUGAAUAUAAUUUAAAGUCUAAUCUGCCCACUGAAAAAUUUUAAAGGGCCGCGGUAUU
RNAcentral lists this ribosomal RNA (838 nucleotides) under Panorpodes paradoxus. RNAcentral describes it as "partial 16S rRNA". Lineage: Eukaryota; Metazoa; Arthropoda; Insecta; Mecoptera; Panorpodidae. The record is from RNAcentral.